UUUAAAUUUAGAGUUUGAUCCUGGCUCAGGACGAACGCUGGCGGCGUGCUUAACACAUGCAAGUCGAGCGAUGAAGCUUCCUUCGGGAGGUGGAUUAGCGGCGGACGGGUGAGUAACACGUGGGUAACCUGCCUCAAAGUGGGGGAUAGCCUUCCGAAAGGAAGAUUAAUACCGCAUAAUAUAAGAGAAUCGCAUGAUUUUUUUAUCAAAGAUUUAUUGCUUUGAGAUGGACCCGCGGCGCAUUAGCUAGUUGGUAAGGUAACGGCUUACCAAGGCAACGAUGCGUAGCCGACCUGAGAGGGUGAUCGGCCACAUUGGAACUGAGACACGGUCCAGACUCCUACGGGAGGCAGCAGUGGGGAAUAUUGCGCAAUGGGGGAAAACCCUGACGCAGCAACGCCGCGUGGGUGAUGAAGGUCUUCGGAUUGUAAAGCCCUGUUUUCUAGGACGAUAAUGACGGUACUAGAGGAGGAAGCCACGGCUAACUACGUGCCAGCAGCCGCGGUAAUACGUAGGUGGCGAGCGUUGUCCGGAUUUACUGGGCGUAAAGGGUGCGUAGGCGGAUGUUUAAGUGGGAUGUGAAAUCCCCGGGCUUAACCUGGGGGCUGCAUUCCAAACUGGAUAUCUAGAGUGCAGGAGAGGAAAGCGGAAUUCCUAGUGUAGCGGUGAAAUGCGUAGAGAUUAGGAAGAACACCAGUGGCGAAGGCGGCUUUCUGGACUGUAACUGACGCUGAGGCACGAAAGCGUGGGUAGCAAACAGGAUUAGAUACCCUGGUAGUCCACGCCGUAAACGAUGGAUACUAGGUGUAGGGGGUAUCAACUCCCCCUGUGCCGCAGUUAACACAAUAAGUAUCCCGCCUGGGGAGUACGGUCGCAAGAUUAAAACUCAAAGGAAUUGACGGGGGCCCGCACAAGCAGCGGAGCAUGUGGUUUAAUUCGAAGCAACGCGAAGAACCUUACCUGGACUUGACAUCCCUUGCAUAGCCUAGAGAUAGGUGAAGCCCUUCGGGGCAAGGAGACAGGUGGUGCAUGGUUGUCGUCAGCUCGUGUCGUGAGAUGUUAGGUUAAGUCCUGCAACGAGCGCAACCCUUGUUAUUAGUUGCUACCAUUAAGUUGAGCACUCUAAUGAGACUGCCUGGGUAACCAGGAGGAAGGUGGGGAUGACGUCAAAUCAUCAUGCCCCUUAUGUCCAGGGCUACACACGUGCUACAAUGGUAGGUACAAUAAGACGCAAGACCGUGAGGUGGAGCAAAACUUAUAAAACCUAUCUCAGUUCGGAUUGUAGGCUGCAACUCGCCUACAUGAAGCUGGAGUUGCUAGUAAUCGCGAAUCAGAAUGUCGCGGUGAAUACGUUCCCGGGCCUUGUACACACCGCCCGUCACACCAUGAGAGCUGGUAACACCCGAAGUCCGUGAGGUAACCGUAAGGAACCAGCGGCCGAAGGUGGGAUUAGUGAUUGGGGUGAAGUCGUAACAAGGUAGCCGUAGGAGAACCUGCGGCUGGAUCACCUCCUUUCUA
Molecule: ribosomal RNA, 1518 nt
Filed under: Clostridium botulinum
Lineage: Bacteria; Bacillati; Bacillota; Clostridia; Eubacteriales; Clostridiaceae
Description: bacterial SSU rRNA
Rfam family: Bacterial small subunit ribosomal RNA
Source: RNAcentral